This 655-nucleotide ribosomal RNA is filed under the name uncultured forest soil bacterium. RNAcentral's name for it is "bacterial SSU rRNA". It matches the Rfam family "Bacterial small subunit ribosomal RNA", at positions 64 to 767 of the family's 1533-position model. The record is from RNAcentral.
GAGCGCCCCGCAAGGGGAGCGGCAGACGGGAGAGUAACACGUGGGAACGUACCCUUCAGUUCGGAACAACCCAGGGAAACUUGGGCUAAUACCGGAUAAGUCCGUAAGGAGAAAGAUUUAUCGCCAAAGGAUCGGCCCGCGUCUGAUUAGCUUGUUGGUGAGGUAACGGCUCACCAAGGCGACGAUCAGUAGCUGGUCUGAGAGGAUGAUCAGCCUCACUGGGACUGAGACACGGCCCAGACUCCUACGGGAGGCAGCAGUGGGGAAUAUUGGACGAUGGGCGCAAGCCUGAUCCAGCCAUGCCGCGUGGAUGGUGAAGGCCUUAGGGUUGUAAAGUCCUUUCGGCGGGGAAGAUAAUGACGGUACCCGCAGAAGAAGCCCCGGCUAACUUCGUGCCAGCAGCCGCGGUAAUACGAAGGGGGCUAGCGUUGCUCGGAAUCACUGGGCGUAAAGCGCACGUAGGCGGCUUUUUAAGUCAGAGGUGAAAUCCUGGAGCUCAACUCCAGAACUGCCUUUGAUACUGGAGAGCUUGAGUCCGGGAGAGGUGAGUGGAACUGCGAGUGUAGAGGUGAAAUUCGUAGAUAUUCGCAAGAACACCAGUGGCGAAGGCGGCUCACUGGCCCGGUACUGACGCUGAGGUGCGAAAGCGUGGGGA